Molecule: long non-coding RNA, 1052 nt
Organism: Hippoglossus stenolepis (Pacific halibut)
Lineage: Eukaryota; Metazoa; Chordata; Actinopteri; Pleuronectiformes; Pleuronectidae
Exons: 4
Source: RefSeq, a predicted model, not a curated record
GCACCAACAGCUACAACUGCCGCACCAACAGCUACAACUGCGGCACCAACAGCUGCAACUGCGGCACCAACAGCUGCAACUGCGGCACCAACAGCUGCAACUGUGGCACCAACAACCACAAAAAAACGAGUGAGUUUCAGGUCUGUUGGGCAAACAUUCACAACCGACUUGUUGGAUCCAUCAUCUGCUGCUUUUAAAGGAAGAGCUACUAACAUAAAGAAUCAGCUUGAACCUGAGUACAAAAAGGAAUUCCCCUCUUCCUUCCGUUCCUUCGAAGUGGUGGAAUUCAGAAAUGGAUCAAUCAUCACUAUUUCUGACCUCACCUUCAAUGGCACAUCUGUUCCUGACAACACUGCGAUUAAAAACGUUUUGCUAAAUGCAGCUUCAUCAGUCAGCGGCUUCAACAUUGAAGCCAACUCCGUCAACGUGGAGGACAUAGCUUCAAGUGGAGUCAGUCAACAGAUCAGUCUUGUCACUGCAUCCUGUCUGGUGCUCUUGUCAUGGCUACUGUCAAGCCAGCAAUAGCAUCUGUGCUGAUUUCCUUAUGAAUUUCCAUGGGAACAAGAACAACAUCUCUGGAAUGAAAAAGGACUUUAUUGUCAGCAAAAAUCCCAGAUUGUUGAUUUUUUUAAUGUGUUGCACGGUUUUGGAUUAACUAAAUUUUACUUUGUUAGAUAUUAAUGUCUUAUCUAAAGCUUUCUAUAAUCUCCAAAUUCAUGUCAAAUGAAUGUUCAGGUUUGUUUCUCGAAAAAAUGAAAGAACACAUGCAGGUCAUCGCGGGCUCCACAAUCCAACUGCUUAUAUUCUACCAAAGGCCAUGGAGUAAAACAUGAAUACUGUGAUUCAAUAUGAUGCAUAGUUGUGUUUUGUGAGAGUUCUUAAUGUUAGAAGUUAAAAACUUUACAAUGAUCAGAAUACAAAAUAUUCCCAUCUUAAAGUCAAAGUGUUUAUUGCGUGACGUUUUGUAAUUUUGUUGAUUAAGGAGAAACUGGAUCAUGUGUCUGAGUCAAAAGCAUUAAUAAAAGCAUCACUGAAGUUGACAGAAAAUCAAA